CGUGUGGUUUCCUGUAGUACGCCCCGUGUGGCCCGGGUCACUCCAUGACCGCACUGUGGUUUUUGUCAGCAGCUGGACAACUGGGCU
Molecule: unclassified non-coding RNA, 87 nt
Organism: Ursus americanus (American black bear)
Lineage: Eukaryota; Metazoa; Chordata; Mammalia; Carnivora; Ursidae
Source: Ensembl